This 1497-nucleotide ribosomal RNA is filed under the name metagenome. RNAcentral's name for it is "bacterial SSU rRNA". It matches the Rfam family "Bacterial small subunit ribosomal RNA". The record is from RNAcentral.
AGAGUUUGAUCCUGGCUCAGGAUGAACGCUGGCGGUAUGCUUAACACAUGCAAGUCGUACGAGGUAUUUUAAAAGUAAUUUUAAAAUACUGUAGUGGCGCACGGGUGCGUAACACGUAAGAACCUACCUUUUGGAGGGGGAUAACAAUGGGAAACUGUUGCUAAUACCCCAUAAAAAUUCAGUAUUAACAUUGUUUUUACUGUAGCUGAGGAGUGAAAGUGAGAAAUCACACCAAAAGAUGGGCUUGCGUCUGAUUAGCUAGUUGGUGGGGGUAAAAGCCUCCCAAGGCCACGAUCAGUAGCUGGUUUGAGAGGACGAUCAGCCACACUGGGACUGAGACACGGCCCAGACUCCUACGGGAGGCAGCAGUGGGGAAUUUUCCACAAUGGGCGAAAGCCUGAUGGAGCAAUACCGCGUGGAGGAAGAAGGAUCGUGGUCUGUAAACUCCUUCUAUCAGAGAAGAAUAAAUGACGGUAUCUGAUGAAUAAGCCCCGGCAAACUCUGUGCCAGCAGCCGCGGUAAUACAGAGGGGGCAAGCGUUAUCCGGAAUGAUUGGGCGUAAAGCGUCUGUAGGUGGUUUUGGAGGUCUGCUGUCAAAAACCAAGGCUUAACCUUGGGCAGGCGGUAGAGUACUCCAAGACUUGAGUAUGGUAGAUGUAGGGGGAACUCUUGGUGGACCGGUGAAAUGGGUAGAUAUCAAGGGGAACACCAGCGGCGAAGGCGCCCUACUGGGCCAUUACUGACACUGAGAGACGAAAGCAGAGGGAGUGACUAGGAUUAGAUACCCUAUUAAUCUCUGCCGUAAACGAUGGAAACUAAGUUCUAGCUCUUCUUUAGAAAGUUAGUUCUGUAGCUAACGCGUUAAGUUUCCCGCCUGGGGAGUACGUUCGCAAGAAUAAAACUCAAAGGAAUUGACGGGGACCCACACAAUCGGUGGAUUAUGUGGUUUAAUUCGAUCAACGCGAAGAACCUUACCAGGGUUUGACAUACCAGAAAUCUUUCAGAAAUGGAAGAGUGCUUAUUAUUUCAAAUAAUAAGAGUCUGGGUACAGGCGGUGCAUGGCUGUCGUCAGCUCGUGCUUUGAAGUGUAUGGUUAAGUCCCAUAACGAGCGCAACCCUCGUCUUUAGUUAAUUACUCUAAAGAGACUGCCCGUGUAAGCGGGAGGAAGGUGAGGAUGACGUCAAGUCAGCAUGCCCCUUACAUCCUGGGCGACACACGUAAUACAAUGGUUGGGACAAUCAGUAGCGAUCUCGUGAGAGCUAGCCAAUCUGCUAAACCCAACCUCAGUUCGGAUUGCAGGCUGCAACUCGCCUGCAUGAAGCCGGAAUCGAUAGUAAUCGCAGGUCAGCUAUACUGCGGUGAAUACGUUCCUGGGUCUUGUACACACCGCCCGUCACACCAAGGGAGUUGAAUUGAACCCAAGCAGGUAACCCAACUUUUUUAGAGGGACCCUUCAAAGUUCGGUUUAGUGACCAUGGUGAAGUCGUAACAAGGUA